GAUGAACGCUGGCGGCGUGCCUAAUACAUGCAAGUCGAGCGAACGGACGAGAAGCUUGCUUCUCUGAUGUUAGCGGCGGACGGGUGAGUAACACGUGGAUAACCUACCUAUAAGACUGGGAUAACUUCGGGAAACCGGAGCUAAUACCGGAUAAUAUUUUGAACCGCAUGGUUCAAAAGUGAAAGACGGUCUUGCUGUCACUUAUAGAUGGAUCCGCGCUGCAUUAGCUAGUUGGUAAGGUAACGGCUUACCAAGGCAACGAUGCAUAGCCGACCUGAGAGGGGGAUCGGCCACACUGGAACGGAGACACGGACCAGACUCCUACGGGAGGCAGCAGUAGGGAAUCUUCCGCAAUGGGCGAAAGCCUGACGGAGCAACGCCGCGUGAGUGAUGAAGGUCUUCGGAUCGUAAAACUCUGUUAUUAGGGAAGAACAUAUGUGUAAGUAACUGUGCACAUCUUGACGGUACCUAAUCAGAAAGCCACGGCUAACUACGUG
RNAcentral lists this ribosomal RNA (497 nucleotides) under uncultured bacterium. RNAcentral's name for it is "partial 16S ribosomal RNA". It matches the Rfam family "Bacterial small subunit ribosomal RNA", at positions 28 to 507 of the family's 1533-position model. The record is from RNAcentral.